AGUAGUAAUCAUAAGAGUCAUAAUCCCACCAUCAUCAUCAUCACCUCCCUGUGAAAAGACUACUUCCCAAGCAAUGGAGAUCCCAAGAAUCUCAAAGAUCUGAGGGGGCGAAGAAAACUCACCCCACACUCCUGGACCCUCCAGGCCACUGCAGCUAAGGGAGGAGAGCAACUCCAUAGAAACAGUGACAAGAUUUCCUGGAAGCUGCCCAGGACAUGGUAUCUGGCUGGAGCCGUGGUCUAACAGCUGUGUGGGCAUUAUAAAUCUCUCUCUUGGAGAUGAGACUCCGAGGCUCUCGAUGGAUCCUGCUAAUGGUAAAUCUGUCAGUGCCCACAGCACGAGACCUGGACUCAGAGCAUCAAGAUAUCACUGUGUAACAGAAAGGCUUUCGGAAUUCCACAGACUUGAAAAGGAGAGUGAAAAGGAAACAACCCAAGCACGGGGACUGACGCUCCUCUGGGAAAGGCACGGCACAGGCUGACUGCCCAGUUCCUCAUUGGGCACUAUCCCGUACAUUCUGGUUUGGCGGUGCCCCUGCUCACAUCCAAAGGCAGGGUCAUCUCCCCUCUGCUUCAGUCAGGGCUGGUCUCAGGACAGAAUGCAGCAGAAGUGAGGCAGGUCAACAUCCAGACCUCAGCCCUAUGAAGUCUUUCAGCUUCACUGUUCACCACAUCAAGAAGCUCAAGCUAUCCAGCUGAAAAGGCCACACAGAGGAAAACCAAGCACCCGGGCAGACAGCCAACACCAACUACCAGACAGGAGAGGGAGGACAACUUGGAUCUUUUAGACCCAGCCAUGCUCCCAGGAGAGCGUAGCCACAUAAGGUGAAGAACUACCCAGCAG
Non-coding RNA from Odocoileus virginianus texanus, 843 nucleotides. NCBI's taxonomy places the organism in Eukaryota, Metazoa, Chordata, Mammalia, Artiodactyla, Cervidae. The record is from RefSeq and is a predicted model, not a curated record.